AUGCUAGUUUUGGCAGCACAUCUACUAAAAUUGGAAUGAUACAGAGAAGAUUAGCAUUGCCCCUGCAUAAGGAUGACAUGCAAAUGUGUGAAGUGCUCCAUAUUUUU
Small nuclear RNA from Peromyscus eremicus (cactus mouse), 107 nucleotides. The record is from RefSeq and is a predicted model, not a curated record. NCBI's taxonomy places the organism in Eukaryota, Metazoa, Chordata, Mammalia, Rodentia, Cricetidae.